CUGGCUCAGGAUGAACGCUAGCUACAGGCUUAACACAUGCAAGUCGAGGGGCAGCAGGAAGAUGUGCUUGCACAACUUUGCUGGCGACCGGCGCACGGGUGAGUAACGCGUAUCCAACCUUCCCUAUAGUAGAGAAUAGCCCGGCGAAAGUCGGAUUAAUGCUCUAUGUUUUCCAUUGAUGGCAUCAGAUUUGGAACAAAGGUUUUCCGCUAUAGGAUGGGGAUGCGUCUGAUUAGCUUGUUGGCGGGGUAACGGCCCACCAAGGCAACGAUCAGUAGGGGUUCUGAGAGGAAGGUCCCCC
RNAcentral lists this ribosomal RNA (301 nucleotides) under Prevotellaceae bacterium HUN156. RNAcentral describes it as "bacterial SSU rRNA". It matches the Rfam family "Bacterial small subunit ribosomal RNA", at positions 19 to 309 of the family's 1533-position model. The record is from RNAcentral. Lineage: Bacteria; Pseudomonadati; Bacteroidota; Bacteroidia; Bacteroidales; Prevotellaceae.